Molecule: ribosomal RNA, 429 nt
Filed under: Fusobacteriota bacterium
Lineage: Bacteria; Fusobacteriati; Fusobacteriota
Description: Fusobacteria bacterium partial 16S ribosomal RNA
Rfam family: Bacterial small subunit ribosomal RNA
Source: RNAcentral
UGGGGAAUCUUCCGCAAUGGACGAAAGUCUGACGGAGCAACGCCGCGUGAGUGAAGACGGCCUUCGGGUUGUAAAGCUCUGUUAUUCGGGAAGAACGAUUCGUUUGUGAACAAUGAACGGAAGUGACGGUACCGAAAGAGAAAGCCACGGCUAACUACGUGCCAGCAGCCGCGGUAAUACGUAGGUGGCAAGCGUUGUCCGGAAUUAUUGGGCGUAAAGAGCGCGUAGGCGGUAUGGUAAGUCUGUCUUAGAAGUGCGGGGCUUAACCCCGAGAGGGGACAGAGACUGUCAUACUGGAGUCUCGGAGAGGAAAGCGGAAUUCCUAGUGUAGCGGUGAAAUGCGUAGAGAUUAGGAAGAACACCGGUGGCGAAGGCGGCUUUCUGGACGAGCACUGACGCUGAGGCGCGAAAGCGUGGGGAGCGAACAGG